AGGGAUGUCAACGGAUCAGACUUAGGGCGGAUUUUCAAGAUCCAAACUUGAACCCGGCAACAAAUCCAAUAAUUCAAAUCCGAACCCGAAACAAUUAUUUCUUUUUAGAAAAAACUUCAAAAACCCCCCUUGUGGUUUCAAUUUUUUUCAUGUUAGUACCAUGUGGUUUAAAAUGUAUCAAGUUAGUACCCAGUGGUUUCUCACUCUAUCACUUUAAUACCCUGUGGUUUAAAAUGUAUCAAAUUAGUACACUGUGGUUUUGCACUUUAUCACUUUAGUAUCCUGUGGUUUUAAUUUUGUAUCAAAUUAGUAUCCUGUGGUUUUAAUUUUGUAUCAAAUUAGUAUCCUGUGAUUUUUUAAACCAUAGGGUACUAAAGUGAUAAAGUGUGAAAUCAUAGGGUACUAAAGUGAUAAAGUGCAAAACCACAUGGUACUAACUUGAUACACUUUAAACCACAAGGUACUAAAGUGAUAAAGUGAGAAACCACGGGGUACUAACUUGAUACAUUUUAAACCACAGGGUACUAAAAUGAAAAAGUGUGAAACUACAU
RNAcentral lists this long non-coding RNA (551 nucleotides) under Ananas comosus (pineapple). RNAcentral describes it as "long non-coding RNA (ACOM_LNC022584)". Lineage: Eukaryota; Viridiplantae; Streptophyta; Magnoliopsida; Poales; Bromeliaceae. The record is from RNAcentral.